AGACACCCACACGAAAACCGGAAGGCAGCCUUGAGUGUCGUGUGAUAAGUUUAUCGGCGCCAUCUCGCCAGCCACCCCCUCCCCAGGGUCUCGAUCAAUGGGACACAGUGCGCCUCCAGUCUGAGAGGCUUCCUUGGGUGGGUGGUGGGACUGCAAGGUGGCCCUUUGGCAGAGUCUACAAGAGCUAAAUUAGGUCGCCAAGUGGCCCAUUACCCACAUAAUCUAGCCCUACCUUCCAGAACAACUGAGAAAUGCCUCAGUGGGCAGAGCCUCAAGUCCACCAGAUAACAGGCCCCAACUUGACCUCUUGUCAUCAGAAAUCACUGCCAAGUUUCCAAGCCAGGGAAAGAGCAACAGUCGUGAGGCCUGUUCCACGCACCCACCUAUGAUCCUCUCGCUGGAGGCAGAGGGCGAACAUUUGAAACUUAGGAGAUUUCAUAUAGAACUCCAGAUUUUUUAUUUCUUUUGAAAAAUUGGAAAUUCUGGUCACCCUGGACCUGAAAUCUUAACAGUCACCAGCCUAGAACAGAGCUGAAGAAAGACAGAUACUCUGUGUUGGAAAUUGCAAAAGCUCUCUGCAAGAACAACUCCAUCCGAACCCUGCCCUACGACACUCAACCAAGCUCUAGCAAAGCUUCUGGCAGCCUCAGGCCACACCCCUGGGACAACCCACCGCCGCUUUGCACUCCUGUGUGGAAAAGCUCAGGGCUGCCAAAAGAAUUCA
RNAcentral lists this long non-coding RNA (724 nucleotides) under Homo sapiens (human). RNAcentral's name for it is "HSALNT0175775". The record is from RNAcentral. Lineage: Eukaryota; Metazoa; Chordata; Mammalia; Primates; Hominidae.